UACGGGGGGAGCAAGCGUUGUUCGGAUUUACUGGGCGUAAAGGGCGCGUAGGCGGCCACCGCAAGUCGAUUGUGAAAUCUCCGGGCUUAACCCGGAAAGGUCAACCGAUACUGCGGGGCUAGAGUGCAGAAGGGGCAACUGGAAUUCUCGGUGUAGCGGUGAAAUGCGUAGAUAUCGAGAGGAACACCUAUGGCGAAGGCAGCUCUCUGGGACGGUACUGACGCUGAGACGCGAAAGCGUGGGGAGCGAACAGG
RNAcentral lists this ribosomal RNA (254 nucleotides) under uncultured bacterium. RNAcentral describes it as "partial 16S ribosomal RNA". It matches the Rfam family "Bacterial small subunit ribosomal RNA", at positions 524 to 776 of the family's 1533-position model. The record is from RNAcentral.